GAUGAAGAACGGAGCGAAAUGCGAUACGUAAUGUGAAUUGCAGAAUUCAGUGAAUCAUCGAAUCUUUGAACGCAUAUUGCGCUCUCUGGUAUUCCGGAGAGCAUGCUUGUUUGAGUAUCAGUAAACACCUCAACUUCCAUAUCUUUUUUGAAAUGGGAGUUGGACUUGAGUGAUCCCAACGCUUUUCCUCACCGAAAAGUGGCGGGUUACUUGAAAUGCAGGUGCAGCUGGACUUUUCUCUGAGCUAUAAGCAUAUCUAUUUAGUCUGCCUAAAAAACAGAUUAUUACCUUUGCUGCAGCUAACAUAAAGGAGAUUAGUUCUUGUGCUGACUGAUGCAGGAUUCACAAAGACGGCUUCGGCCGACUUUGUAAACUCGAUCUCAAAUCAAGGAAGACUACCCGCUGAACUUAAGCAUAUCAAUAAGCGGAGGA
Molecule: unclassified non-coding RNA, 432 nt
Filed under: soil metagenome
Description: partial contains 5.8S ribosomal RNA, internal transcribed spacer 2, and large subunit ribosomal RNA
Rfam family: 5.8S ribosomal RNA (bases 1-120)
Source: RNAcentral